UCAACCCUGCGCUGUGCGAUAGGACCUAGGAUGUAUUGAACCACAAAACAAUACACAGGGAGCUGGUCACCUGUCGGCAUCCGCUUCGUCGGAGCCUCACACCGGCGCCCACUUGGGAACUAUGGUUCUCAUUACACCAGGUUCACCGGCAGAGGCGGGGCUUUU
This 165-nucleotide non-coding RNA is filed under the name Candidatus Omnitrophota bacterium. Its description in RNAcentral is "6S RNA". It matches the Rfam family "6S / SsrS RNA". Rfam says of the family: E. coli 6S RNA was the first non coding RNA to be sequenced, but its function was unknown until recently. It consists of 184 nucleotides that fold into an extended hairpin structure with a large single-stranded internal bulge. The 6S RNA specifically associates with RNA polymerase holoenzyme containing the sigma70 specificity factor. The record is from RNAcentral. Lineage: Bacteria; Pseudomonadati; Candidatus Omnitrophota.